Molecule: ribosomal RNA, 496 nt
Filed under: uncultured bacterium
Lineage: Bacteria
Description: partial 16S ribosomal RNA
Rfam family: Bacterial small subunit ribosomal RNA
Source: RNAcentral
GAUGAACGCUGGCGGCGUGCCUAAUACAUGCAAGUAGAACGCUGAAGGAGGAGCUUGCUCUUUCCGGAUGAGUUGCGAACGGGUGAGUAACGCGUAGGUAACCUGCCUGGUAGCGGGGGAUAACUAUUGGAAACGAUAGCUAAUACCGCAUAACAGUAGAUAUUGCAUGAUAUUUGCUUGAAAGGGGCAAUUGCUCCACUACCAGAUGGACCUGCGUUGUAUUAGCUAGUUGGUGAGGUAACGGCUCACCAAGGCGACGAUACAUAGCCGACCUGAGAGGGGGGGUCGCCACCCUGGGACGGGGACACGGCCCAGACGCCCUCGGGGAGGAGCCAGAGGGAAACUUGGGGAAGUGGUGGGAGAUCGAGCGAGCAACGCCGCGUGAGUGAAGAAGGUUGUCGGAUCGUAAAGCUCUGUUGUAAGAGAAGAACGAGUGUGAGAGUGGAAAGUUCACACUGUGACGGUAUCUGACCAGAAAGGGACGGCUAACUACGUG